UGCAAGCUUAUAUCAUUAUCGUGUGUUAAUACCACCAAAUCAUAGUAUGUCACAUCUGGUUGCUUACAAAAAAUGAUAUAUGAAUUAAGUAACUAAAAAAGCAGAAAAAAUGAGGGGUCCAUUAGCUUGUUCUCGAAAUAUAAAACAUUGAAAAUUUGGCGGGAAAUAAUUUUCUCUAGGUUUCCAUACAUUUAACAUGGCACCGUUUUUCUAUCAAAUAGUAUAAAAAAUAACAAGAAUUUAAUAAGAUUUUCAAAGAUGGCAUUUUAAACUAUUUGUAAUCAAAUUAUGAAAGAAAAGUAGGGGUUAGUGGGCAAAUAUUUGCAAUGGCAUUGCAUGGAUAAAACCAGAGGAUUCCAAAUAUCUUACAAGCAUCCUUGAGAUAUUUUGUUUGUUCUAAAUACAAACAAUAGGGUUUUCAAUACAUACAUGCACACGUUACACAAAUAAGCAAUGCAUAAUACAGAUAUUAUAU
This 475-nucleotide long non-coding RNA is filed under the name Mytilus galloprovincialis (Mediterranean mussel). The record is from RNAcentral. Lineage: Eukaryota; Metazoa; Mollusca; Bivalvia; Mytilida; Mytilidae.